CAGCAGCCGCGGUAAUACGAGGGGGGCAAGCGUUGUUCGGAAUUAUUGGGCGUAAAGAGCUCGUAGGCGGUCUGUCGCGUCUGCUGUGAAAACUGGAGGCUCAACCUCCAGCCUGCAGUGGGUACGGGCAGACUAGAGUGCGGUAGGGGAGACUGGAAUUCCUGGUGUAGCGGUGGAAUGCGCAGAUAUCAGGAGGAACACCGAUGGCGAAGGCAGAUCUCUGGGCCGUAACUGACGCUGAGGAGCGAAAGCAUGGGGAGCGAACAGGAUUAGAUACCCCCGUAGUCCCUGUCUCUUAUAC
RNAcentral lists this ribosomal RNA (301 nucleotides) under uncultured bacterium. RNAcentral's name for it is "partial 16S ribosomal RNA". It matches the Rfam family "Bacterial small subunit ribosomal RNA", at positions 509 to 807 of the family's 1533-position model. The record is from RNAcentral.